AAUCUCUUAGCGAGGAACAAUUGGAGGGCAAGUCAGGUGCCAGCAGCCGCGGUAAUUCCUGCUCCAAUAGCGUAUAUUAAAGUUGUUGCAGUUAAAAAGCUCGUAGUUGAACUUCUGCCGAUUUUAGAUGGUUCUACCAGCUAAAAUGGGCAUACGUUUGCAAACUAAGACCGGCCUUCACUGGUGCGACUUAGGGAGUAAACAUUUUACUGUGAAAAAAUUAGAGUGUUUCAGGCAGGUUUUAGCCCGGAUACAUCAGCAUGGAAUAAUGGAAUAGGACUAGGUCCAUUUUAUUGGUUAUUGGAUUUGGUAAUGAUUAAUAGGGACAGUUGGGGGCAUUAGUAUUUAAUAGUCAGAGGUGAAAUUCUUGGAUUUAUUAAGGACUAACUAAUGCGAAAGCAUUUGCCAAAGAUGUUUUCAUUAAUCAAGAACGAAAGUUAGGGGAUCAAAGACGAUCAGAUACCGUCGUAGUCUUAACUAUAAACUAUACCGACUCGGGAUCGGCUGGAAUAUAAUGUCCAGUCGGCACCGUAUGAGAAAUCAAAGUCUUUGGGUUCUGGGGGAAGUAUGGUCGCAAGGCUGAAACUUAAAGGAAUUGACGGAACAGCACACCAGAAGUGGAACCUGCGGCUUAAUUUGACCCAACACGGGGAAACUCACGAGCGCAAGACAGAGAAGGGAUUGACAGAUUGAGAGCUCUUUCUUGAUUCUUUGGAUGGUGGAGCACGGCCGUUCUUAGUUGGUGGAGUGAUUUGUCUGGUUAAUUCCGUUAACGAACGAGACCUUAACCUGCUAACUAGUCAGACUGUGAACAACGGUUUGUACUUCUUAGAGGGACUAUUGGUAUUUAAGCCAAUGGAAGUUUAAGGCAAUAACAGGUCUGUGAUGCCCCUAGACGUGCUCGGCCGCACGCGCGUUACAAUGGCUGGCUCAAAAAGUAUUUCCUGGCCUGGAAAGGUUCGGGUAAUCUUAUUAAUACCAGUCGUGUUAGGGAUAGUUCUUUGAAACUAUAGAUCUUGAACGAGGAAUUUCUAGUAAGUGCAAGUCAUCAGCUUGCGUUGAUUAUGUCCCUGCCGUUUGUACACACCGCCCGUCGCUUGUAGUAACGAAUGGUCCGGUGAACCUUCUGGACUGAGAUCGCAAGGUUUCGGGAAGUUAAGUAAACCCUACCAUUU
RNAcentral lists this ribosomal RNA (1175 nucleotides) under metagenome. RNAcentral's name for it is "SSU rRNA". It matches the Rfam family "Eukaryotic small subunit ribosomal RNA", at positions 528 to 1774 of the family's 1831-position model. The record is from RNAcentral.